Molecule: long non-coding RNA, 1792 nt
Filed under: Hordeum vulgare
Lineage: Eukaryota; Viridiplantae; Streptophyta; Magnoliopsida; Poales; Poaceae
Description: long non-coding RNA (HVUL_LNC017923)
Source: RNAcentral
GAAACUCUCCAUAGUGGUGGUGCCUCAUGGCUAUAGGAAAGUGGGCAGAAAAAGUCUCGACGAUCUUCGUCUCGUCUCACCCUCGUCCCUUGGUCCCUAGUCAUUUGAUAUUUAGGUCUGUCUGAUUCGGGCUGACAGGGCGAUAGGCCGUUGUUGUAGUUGCCUUCAUCAUCUCCUCUUUUAAAUUUCAGAUUUGUUCACGUCGUCUCGUCGGAUUAAUCGGUGGCUAACUCUAAUCUCUAGGUACUUAGGGAGUCCUUUUUUAUUAAAUCUAUUAGUUUUCUCAUCUGAUAAUUGCUCGUUGAAUCCCGCAAAAAAAAAGAUAAUUGCUCGUUGAAUUUAAAUAAUAUAUAUUACACACACAUCUGGAUAUAUUUUAGAUCUUUUAAUUUUUUUUGUAAGAUAAGGCCCCAUAUCUUAGUUUGGCACAGGUCCCGAAUUUUGCCGGCCCGACCCUGGGUGGCGCGUCAUCGGCGUCGGCCAUGUCGGCAACGGGCGGUAGGGAGGAGGCGGACGGCCGGGAGUCGGGCGGUGGUUGUGCGCUGGAAGGCAACUAAACGUCAGUUUGUGAGGGCAGAUGCAGCGCCGACGACGGAAGCCGGAGAGCGGGGAGCAGAGGGCAGCCGACGCGCGCCGCGUGCACGUCGUGAUCAGCUGGCUGCUGACUCAGUUAUUUGCGCCAACGAACGCAUGAUCCUGAGUGAUGGACAGCGCGAAGCCGGUCGGGGUUGCCGGCCGGAUGUGGCAGAUGCCUACAUCCUGCGAGAUGUUCCGUACAGUGACAGCGAGAUCGUGGCCAUGCCGGAUUUCAGACAUCAGGACGUAUCUGUACAAUGUCUGCGCCAAACUUUUCUAGGACUGGUGCUCACAUCGGUGGCACAGUGGCAUGGAGCGUAGGCAAGCAUGCUACGCUUGGCACCAUAGGCAAGCGUGCAACUGCAGUGUUCCUGAUAACGGCAGUUGGUGUGUCUACUAGUCGGUCCGCCUGAUCUGGUGGCUCAUCGACUGAAAGCGCACGUCUCAACAUUUUCUCGAGAAGAAGUUGACGAAAACAUCGGGUGAGAGCGUGGGUUGGUACUAGAUGCUACCUCCACUGCGCACGACGACAUCCUUCAGGAUGCAGGCAAAGAACGAGUUGAUGCUUAACAAGAAGCAUCUUAUUUACAUCUCAGAGGCAUUACACUAAUGGUUCAUUCCUGGAUGUCUCUCACUCCCAUAUUCUCAAGGUGGCACUGUCUUUUCUUUUUCGCGGGGUGCAUUAAUUGGUCUCUUCUUGCAUUGUGCUGGUCUUUGCUACUCUAGACCCUCAAGAGAAAGCUGGUGAGCUCCUCGAUAGAGAAAACAUACACACUUGAGAUUGGUCAUCCUCGUAUAUAUAUACAUGAAUUGUUAAUAUUGUAUCUUGUGGUCGCUAGGACUUUAUUUCGUUAGAUGUUUUCUGUGAGGGAGGUCUUCACUUAUGACCAUCGUCUGUAAUGUUACAAAACACGACCAUGUGUCAGCUUCAGAUUUUUGUUUGCUCCAUCUCACGGACGAGCCGACUCAUAAUGUACACCAUGUAAAUCAGUGAGAUACAAAGGGUUACAUGGGAUUUACAGGUUGGUUAGUUUUGAUUAGAGAUUAAGGGGGUGGAAGGGCCCACCCCAUGAAAAUCAGGAGGGGGAGUGAUUAGUUAGCAUCAAAGGAUCCUAUUCAACCUGUAAUUGCGUGUAAUCUUUAGUACAUUUAGCAUUUUUGCCAUGUAAAUAUAUAAUUAAUGGGAGAUAGUGUGGUGGAUAUACCAUUAUGGCAU